RNAcentral lists this transfer RNA (76 nucleotides) under Schnuerera ultunensis. RNAcentral describes it as "tRNA-Thr". It matches the Rfam family "tRNA". Rfam says of the family: Transfer RNA (tRNA) molecules are approximately 80 nucleotides in length. Their secondary structure includes four short double-helical elements and three loops (D, anti-codon, and T loops). Lineage: Bacteria; Bacillati; Bacillota; Tissierellia; Tissierellales; Tepidimicrobiaceae. RNAcentral also lists the same sequence under 4 other names. The record is from RNAcentral.
GCCAAUAUAGCUCACUAGGCAGAGCAGCAGUCUCGUAAACUGCAGGUAAAGGGUUCGAAUCCCUUUAUUGGCUCCA